Molecule: ribosomal RNA, 482 nt
Filed under: uncultured bacterium
Lineage: Bacteria
Description: partial 16S ribosomal RNA
Rfam family: Bacterial small subunit ribosomal RNA
Source: RNAcentral
AUUGAACGCUGGCGGCAUGCCUUACACAUGCAAGUCGAACGGUAACGGGCCUUCGGGUGCCGACGAGUGGCGAACGGGUGAGUAAUACAUCGGAACGUGCCCGAUCGUGGGGGAUAACGAGGCGAAAGCUUUGCUAAUACCGCAUACGAUCUACGGAUGAAAGCAGGGGACCGCAAGGCCUUGCGCGGACGGAGCGGCCGAUGGCAGAUUAGGUAGUUGGUGGGGUAAAAGCUUACCAAGCCGACGAUCUGUAGCUGGUCUGAGAGGAUGAUCAGCCACACUGGGACUGAGACACGGCCCAGACUCCUAAGGGAGGCAGCAGUGGGGAAUUUUGGACAAUGGGCGCAAGCCUGAUCCAGCCAUGCCGCGCGCAGGAUGAAGGCCUUCGGGUUGUAAACUGCUUUUGUACGGAACGAAAAGCCUUCUUUUAAUACAGGAGGGUCAUGACGGUACCGUAAGAAUAAGCACCGGCUAACUACGUG